RNAcentral lists this long non-coding RNA (633 nucleotides) under Setaria italica (foxtail millet). RNAcentral describes it as "long non-coding RNA (SITA_LNC002193)". The record is from RNAcentral. Lineage: Eukaryota; Viridiplantae; Streptophyta; Magnoliopsida; Poales; Poaceae.
AAGAACACAAAACUAGAAGAGACCUGGGACCGUCCCUCCCUCCCCCGUCUGUAACCCCCUACUACAGAAUCCCCGCGCGGGCAACACGAACAUCCUCGAUACUGGACGUAGGGCUCCCUUUGCCCGAACCAGUCUAAUCCGUGUCUCCCGUGCUACCAUCUGAGGCUCACGCGCAUAAAAGAAAUUUACUAGUCUAAGUCCUGAUCCGCUGAUCUUGACAACGACAGAUACUUUAAUACAAUGGUGGGUAAUUUAGAUAUCGGUUUAGAGUGUUCCUUUAGAAUAUUUUUAUAAUGAUAAUAGUGGGUAAUGUUUUUAGAAAAUAUAAUAGAGAAAAAGGCUAUAAUUAUAAGAGUCUUCACGUAAAGGACCUUCAAAAGUAGUUUUAAUCAGUACUAGCAAGAUUGAUUUGAAUCUACCGAGAAAUGGAGGGCCAAAGCACAUAACUGUGCCGACGAAAUGCAUGGACACGAGUACACGACUACAUCGCAUCAGAUCAAAGCUUUUGACUAAUUUGAUGGUCACUUGCAGCCGGACGAUAUAGAAGAGAUUUAAAGAGAACAUCUGCUGACUCUCGCCGGAUUUACUACAUUGCACACGUGCGUAACGCAAGCCCACGAGCAUCUGGGGGUG